Molecule: ribosomal RNA, 408 nt
Filed under: Fusobacteriota bacterium
Lineage: Bacteria; Fusobacteriati; Fusobacteriota
Description: Fusobacteria bacterium partial 16S ribosomal RNA
Rfam family: Bacterial small subunit ribosomal RNA
Source: RNAcentral
UCGAGAAUAUUCGUCAAUGGGCGAAAGCCUGAACGAGCGAUGCCGCGUGUGGGAUGAAGGCCCUUGGGUCGUAAACCACUUUUGUUAUAGAAAAACUUACGUGAUGGUAUAUAGCGAAUAAGAGGUUACUAACUCUGUGCCAGCAGUAGCGGUAAUACAGAGACCUCAAGCGUUAUCCGGAUUUAUUGGGCGUAAAGAGCAGGUAGGUGGAAAUAUUAGUCAGAUGUCAAAUCCUCGGGCUUAACCCGAGAACUGCAUUUGAAACGAUAUUUCUUGAGGGAGUGAGAGACCACUGGAACUUAUGGUGUAGCAGUGAAAUGCGUUGAUAUCAUGAGGAACACCAAAGGCGAAGGCAUGUGGUUGGCGCUCUCCUGACACUGAUCUGCGAAAGCGUGGGUAGCGAAUGGG